Molecule: ribosomal RNA, 465 nt
Filed under: uncultured bacterium
Lineage: Bacteria
Description: partial 16S ribosomal RNA
Rfam family: Bacterial small subunit ribosomal RNA
Source: RNAcentral
CCUACGGGAGGCAGCAGUAGGGAAUCUUCCACAAUGGGCGCAAGCCUGAUGGAGCAACACCGCGUGAGUGAAGAAGGGUUUCGGCUCGUAAAGCUCUGUUGUUGGAGAAGAACAUGCGUGAGAGUAACUGUUCACGCAGUGACGGUAUCCAACCAGAAAGUCACGGCUAACUACGUGCCAGCAGCCGCGGUAAUACGGAGGGUGCAAGCGUUGUCCGGAAUCAUUGGGCGUAAAGAGUUCGUAGGCGGCAUGUAAAGUCAGGUGUUAAAGGCGCAGGCUCAACCUGUGUAUGGCACUUGAUACUUGCAAGCUGGAAUGCGGUAGAGGUAAAGGGAAUUCCUGGUGUAGCGGUGAAAUGCUUAGAUAUCAGGAGGAACAUCGGUGGCGUAAGCGCUUUACUGGGCCGUAAUUGACGCUGAGGAACGAAAGCCAGGGUAGCAAAUGGGAUUAGAUACCCCAGUAGUC